This 400-nucleotide unclassified non-coding RNA is filed under the name uncultured fungus. Its description in RNAcentral is "sequence contains ITS1". The record is from RNAcentral. Lineage: Eukaryota; Fungi.
ACGUCAUCCCCACCUUCCUCCGGUUUGGCACCGGCAGUCUUCCCAGAGUCCCCGACAUUACUCGCUGGCAACUGGGAACGGGGGUUGCGCUCGUUGCGGGACUUAACCCAACAUCUCACGACACGAGCUGACGACAGCCAUGCAGCACCUGUGCACGGACUCCGAAGAGGGCCCCUGGUUUCUCAAGGGUUUCCCGUGCAUGUCAAGCCUAGGUAAGGUUCUUCGCGUUGCGUCGAAUUAAACCACAUGCUCCACCGCUUGUGCGGGCCCCCGUCAAUUCCUUUGAGUUUCAGCCUUGCGGCCGUACUCCCCAGGCGGGGUACUUAAUGCGUUAGCGCCGACACUCAGGGGGUCGCUCCCCCAAGCAUCUAGUACCCAUCGUUUACGGCGUGGACUACCA